GCCGUGAUCGUAUAGUGGUUAGUACUCUGCGUUGUGGUCGCAGCAACCCCGGUUUCGAAUCCGGGUCACGGCA
Molecule: non-coding RNA, 73 nt
Organism: Oncorhynchus kisutch (coho salmon)
Lineage: Eukaryota; Metazoa; Chordata; Actinopteri; Salmoniformes; Salmonidae
Source: the annotation of a RefSeq genome assembly